RNAcentral lists this unclassified non-coding RNA (746 nucleotides) under Hevea brasiliensis (rubber tree). The record is from RNAcentral. Lineage: Eukaryota; Viridiplantae; Streptophyta; Magnoliopsida; Malpighiales; Euphorbiaceae.
UGCGGGCUUCAUGUGUUUGAUCUUUUUGUUAAGUGGCCGAUUAAUAAUAACUCCGAAGGGCCCCUCCUGUGGAUGUCUAGUUCCUGAUCUGAGAAGGAGAACAACCGUCCUCUCAAAGGCACGAACCCCAUCAAGUUUUUCGGUGGCAACAAGGACGCAGCCAGUCUCAGGCACUGAGAUAGGGUGGGCCCAUUUCAGGCCAAGUGGUUUGGAAUCUUGGGGUGUCCCACCGUGGUUGGCAGCAUCAGUCUCUGCAAUCUGUGCCUGCUCUUGAAUAACCAUUUUCGCUCUGAACUCUCUCCAAUCCCAAUUUAUACGAUGGGACUUCUGGGAAGCAUUAUCAUUAGAUCUUUUUCCAUCAGGAGAGUUGCUUCCUUUGGAACCAUCUCCUUCUGGAUUAGAUCGAUCACCAUUUCCGUUAUUAUUCUUCUUAGCCAUGGCUCUGAUAACCAACGAAUGAUACCCAUAGCAGGAAGAAGAAGAAUAAGAGAGCUUCCCCCCCAAAAUCCUGAUCUCGAAUACCCCAACUUUUCCAAAAUUCCAGGAAUUUGAUUUCACGGGAAUCAUUGAAUAGUUCCUGACCCAAAAGGGGCUAUGAGUUGAAUUCUUGACAUGCAGUGCCCAAGGAUCCAUGCCUCCAAAAUUAAAAGGAAAAGGAAAAAAGAUUAGAACUUGCCAGGAAAAUGAAUAGAAAGAAUAAGUGAGCGGAGGAAUUUUCAGAUUUUUUUUUUUUUUUUUUUUUUUUU